GCCGGAGUAACUCAGUUGGUAGAGUAACCCCUUCGUAAGGGGUAAGUCGCGAGUUCGAAUCUCGCCUCCGGCUCCA
RNAcentral lists this transfer RNA (76 nucleotides) under bacterium. Its description in RNAcentral is "tRNA-Thr". It matches the Rfam family "tRNA". Rfam says of the family: Transfer RNA (tRNA) molecules are approximately 80 nucleotides in length. RNAcentral also lists the same sequence under 1 other name. The record is from RNAcentral.